CCUACGGGUGGCAGCAGUGAGGAAUAUUGGUCAAUGGGCGGGAGCCUGAACCAGCCAAGUCGCGUGAGGGAAGACGGUCCUAUGGAGUGUAAACCUCUUUAGGCGGGGAGCAAUGCCGGGCACGCGUGCCCGGAGGGAGAGUACCCGCAGAAUCAGCAUCGACUCACUCCGUGCCAGCAGCCGCGGUAAUACGGGGGAUGCGAGCGUUAUCCGGAUGUAUUGGGUUUAAAGGGUGCGUAGACGGAUUUUUAAGUCCGCGGUAAAAUGUCCGUGCUCAAGCCGGGCCUGCCGUUGAAACUGGGGAUCUUGAGUGGGCGAGAAGUAUGAGGAAUGCGUGGGGUAGCGGUGAAAUGCAUAGAUAGCACGCAGAACUCCGAUUGCGAAGGCAGCAUAUCGGCGCCCGACUGACGCUGAGGCACGAAAGCGUGGGGAUCGAACAGGAUUAGAUACCCCUGUAGUC
RNAcentral lists this ribosomal RNA (460 nucleotides) under uncultured bacterium. RNAcentral's name for it is "partial 16S ribosomal RNA". It matches the Rfam family "Bacterial small subunit ribosomal RNA", at positions 338 to 795 of the family's 1533-position model. The record is from RNAcentral.